This 498-nucleotide ribosomal RNA is filed under the name uncultured bacterium. RNAcentral describes it as "partial 16S ribosomal RNA". It matches the Rfam family "Bacterial small subunit ribosomal RNA", at positions 28 to 507 of the family's 1533-position model. The record is from RNAcentral.
GACGAACGCUGGCGGCGUGCCUAAUACAUGCAAGUCGAACGAGAGCAACCGGUGCUUGCACUGGUCAAUCUAGUGGCGAACGGGUGAGUAACACGUGGGUAACCUGCCCAUCAGAGGGGGAUAACAUCCGGAAACGGAUGCUAAAAUCGCAUAGGUCUUCGAACCGCAUGGUUUGAAGAGGAAAAGAGGCGCAAGCUUCUGCUGAUGGAUGGACCCGCGGUGCAUUAGCUAGUUGGUGAGGUAACGGCUCACCAAGGCCGUGAUGCAUAGCCGACCUGAGAGGGUGAUCGGCCACAUUGGGACUGAGACACGGCCCAAACUCCUACGGGAGGCAGCAGUAGGGAAUCUUCCGCAAUGGACGCAAGUCUGACGGAGCAACGCCGCGUGAGUGAAGAAGGUUUUCGGAUCGUAAAACUCUGUUGUUAGAGAAGAACAAGUGCUAGAGUAACUGUUAGCGCCUUGACGGUAGCUAACCAGAAAGCCACGGCUAACUACGUG